CUUUGCUCCUGAUGACUUCAUGGGCUGGAAAAAUCUGAUUUGGGUCUUUAAAUCCCAGGGUCUCCAGUCCGCUGAAAUCUCCCCAGCCCCCCAGCUCUCUGCUUCUGCAGUCUCUGCCCCAGGCUGAGGGCAUCCGGGCGGCCCUGGCUACACCAAGGCCCCGUCUCAGCUCUGCAGUGAGCGCCUGACGGAGGAGCUGAGUGGUGGUGGGGCCCGGGCCCGUGGGGGACGAGGAGGUCAGAGGAGCAAAAGGGACAAAUAGAACAAGGGAGAGAAGCAACUUUGAUGCCCCUCCCCACCCGCCCCGGAGGAGGAGGUCCCAGAGAACAGGCCGCCCACCUCGAGGGCUGACCACCCUCGUCUUUCACACUGCUACGGUGCUCGUUGUUCGGAUCCGUGAGUCGACCAGAACCCCAGCAUCACUACCACACUGCAAUUUGCUUCUGCCUCAAUGAUGAACAGAUUAGCACAGCGCACCAUCGAGCCACAGCCAGGAAGUGGCCUGAAACCUCAUGCAGGACCUGAGCAACCCAAGCAGGGUCCCGCCGUCCCUCACUUCCGGAUGACACAGAGGGAGAUGAAGUUGAAGCAGACAGCCCACGAGCCUGUGGUCAUGUCAUCCUCAGGCAGUCGUGAGGUGAGCAACUUUGCUCUACCACAUGUUCCCUGCCAUGAUGUUUUGCUUCACCACAGGCCUAAUGCAAUGGAGCAACUGAUUAUUGAUUGAACCUUCUGAAACUAUCAAGAGCGAGUAGUGCCAGGCAUGGUGGUGCACAUUUGUAAUCCCAG
Molecule: long non-coding RNA, 789 nt
Filed under: Heterocephalus glaber (naked mole-rat)
Lineage: Eukaryota; Metazoa; Chordata; Mammalia; Rodentia; Bathyergidae
Description: lncRNA (ENSHGLG00100043767.1)
Source: RNAcentral